This 441-nucleotide ribosomal RNA is filed under the name uncultured bacterium. Its description in RNAcentral is "partial 16S ribosomal RNA". It matches the Rfam family "Bacterial small subunit ribosomal RNA", at positions 338 to 795 of the family's 1533-position model. The record is from RNAcentral.
CCUACGGGAGACAGCAGUGGGGAAUAUUGCACAAUGGGGGAAACCCUGAUGCAGCGACGCCGCGUGAGUGAAGAAGUAUUUCGGUAUGUAAAGCUCUAUCAGCAGGGAAGAAGAAAGACGGUAGCUGACUAAGAAGCCCCGGCUAACUACGUGCCAGCAGCCGCGGUAAUCGGUAGGGGGCAAGCGUUAUCCGGAUUUACGGGGUGUAAAGGGAGCGUAGACGGCUGUGCAAGGCUGAAGUGAAAGCCCAGGGCUCAACCCUGGGACUGCUUUGGAAACUGUGGAGCUAGAGUGCAGGAGAGGUAAGUGGAAUUCCUAGUGUAGCGGUGAAAUGCGUAGAUAUUAGGAGGAACACCAUUGGCGAAGGCGGCUUACUGGACAGUAACUGACGUUGAGGCUCGAAAGCGUGGGUAGCAAACAGGAUUAGAUACCCUAGUAGUC